UACAGAGGGUGCAAGCGUUAAUCGGAAUUACUGGGCGUAAAGCGCGCGUAGGUGGUUCGUUAAGUUGGAUGUGAAAUCCCCGGGCUCAACCUGGGAACUGCAUCCAAAACUGGCGAGCUAGAGUAUGGUAGAGGGUGGUGGAAUUUCCUGUGUAGCGGUGAAAUGCGUAGAUAUCUGGAGGAAUACCGGUGGCGAAGGCGGCAUCCUGGACCGGCAUUGACGCUGAGGAGCGAAAGCUAGGGGAGCAAACGGG
Molecule: ribosomal RNA, 253 nt
Filed under: uncultured bacterium
Lineage: Bacteria
Description: partial 16S ribosomal RNA
Rfam family: Bacterial small subunit ribosomal RNA
Source: RNAcentral